RNAcentral lists this ribosomal RNA (253 nucleotides) under uncultured bacterium. RNAcentral describes it as "partial 16S ribosomal RNA". It matches the Rfam family "Bacterial small subunit ribosomal RNA", at positions 524 to 776 of the family's 1533-position model. The record is from RNAcentral.
UACGAAGGGGGCUAGCGUUGCUCGGAAUUACUGGGCGUAAAGGGCGCGUAGGCGGGUCGUUUAGUUAGAGGUGAAAGCCCAGGGCUCAACCCUGGAAUUGCCUUUAAUACUGGCGGCCUUGAGUAUGGCAGAGGUGUGUGGAACUCCGAGUGUAGAGGUGAAAUUCGUAGAUAUUCGGAAGAACACCAGUGGCGAAGGCGACACACUGGGCCAUUACUGACGCUGAGGUGCGAAAGCGUGGGGAGCAAACAGG